UGCCAGCCGCCGCGGUAAUACGAAGGGUGCUAGCGUUGUUCGGAAUUACUGGGCGUAAAGGGUACGUAGGCGGUUUGGUCAGUUAGAUGUGAAAGCCCAGGGCUCAACCUUGGAACUGCAUUUAAUACUGCCAGACUUGAGAUCGGAAGAGGAAAGCGGAAUUUCUAGUGUAGAGGUGAAAUUCGUAGAUAUUAGAAGGAACAUCAGAGGCGAAGGCGGCUUUCUGGUCCGAUACUGACGCUGAGGUACGAAAGCGUGGGGAGCAAACCGGAUUAGAUA
This 279-nucleotide ribosomal RNA is filed under the name uncultured bacterium. RNAcentral's name for it is "partial 16S ribosomal RNA". It matches the Rfam family "Bacterial small subunit ribosomal RNA", at positions 506 to 784 of the family's 1533-position model. The record is from RNAcentral.